AGUGCUUUCCUGCGGACGUGCGCUGCUGCCCAGCCUCAGGCUCCAGUCCUGCGCUGGCUGCUGCUGGCUGUCGUCAGCGAUGCCGCCGCCGGCCACAAGGACUCCCGAAAGAAGCCUGGUGUAACUGAGUCUGGAAUUUUUGCUGGGCUUGCUAGGUCUACACUCUCCCACCUGUGCUCCGAGGAGAGGUGUAGACUAUCUCUUGGAUUUUGCUUGGAGGAUGUCCUUUCCGGACUCAGGACCUAGGAGAGACCAGCAGGAAACAGAACAGAGUCUACAUAGAUGUUUGUAGCUGGAGCCUACUCACCUACAGAGACCUCCUACAGAGGGGCUCUGCCCUGGCCUUUUGGGAUUCAGAGCUGAGGCGGGACACAGAGUUCGACAAAGCCAGAAGACUGAUAAUCUCAGACCUAACUGUACUGGGAGCUGGGAGCUGGGAGCUGUUGGCUUCAGGAAACUUAACCCUCUCUUGUUUAUUCUAUGGCCGAAAACUGCUGACUUCUUUUCGCUUUAACUCUGUGCUCUGGAGAAACUUAACUCUUUGUGCUUAAAUAAGCACUGGGGGUCACUUAACUCUUUGUUACUAUUCUGUGCUUUAAUAAACGCUGAGCAUUCUUCAA
Molecule: long non-coding RNA, 620 nt
Filed under: Mus musculus (house mouse)
Lineage: Eukaryota; Metazoa; Chordata; Mammalia; Rodentia; Muridae
Description: predicted gene, 33195, transcript variant 13 (Gm33195)
Source: RNAcentral